RNAcentral lists this long non-coding RNA (1309 nucleotides) under Cicer arietinum (chickpea). Its description in RNAcentral is "long non-coding RNA (CARI_LNC000927)". The record is from RNAcentral. Lineage: Eukaryota; Viridiplantae; Streptophyta; Magnoliopsida; Fabales; Fabaceae.
UUGGUCAGCGUGAAUUGUAUAGCUAAAACCAUAUGCUAAACCUGUUAUGCAUAUAGGUAUGACAUUACAUAUAACUAUAAGUGACCAUGUGAUUAUGUAAAUGAUGCUUUGAAUAACACCUUUCCUCGUUGAUUCAAUUCUAUGAAGAGUACUUUUCACGUUUAUAGGUCUAGGUCUUACAUCACACGUUCGUUGACUAUUUAACUACAAUCAUGUACACUAAUUAUCAAGUACAAGUACAUCAGUUCUAGGGAUCUACUCUGCAUUUACAGAUCAUUUGCAUGCAUUUCACCUUUUUAACUUACCGUUAACUUUGUUUUACCUUUAACAUCAAACAAAAUAUUUAUCAAUUUCAUCUUGCAUUUAUGAUAAGAAUUCUACAACAAAAAGAAUAUUAUUGUACUUUACUUCUUUAUAUAGAUAAUUUUCAUGUAAUUCAAUAACAGUUGAUAUUUUAGACAGAAACACUGUGAAUUCACUAUUUUAAGAAUAUCUAAAGUUUAAAAAAAUGGAAAGAAUAAUGACGUAGAAGUAUAGAACUAAAUAUUCCCUUAAAUUUCAAAGGGUUGACACAGUUAUUGAAACUAUAGAGAUUUAGGUCGAGAAGGGGGAAAUGAUAAAAAAAAUCCAAGUGAUAAAAUAUAUUAAUAAUUUAUGAUAUUAUAAUGCAUAAUGUUGUGUUACAAAAGACAUUAAGGCAAAACACUAACACAUAUCUAUAAUAAUAAUUGACUCCUAAUCCUUGUUAAACAUAGAAACAAAUAAAAAAGUAGAAUGAAAUGUCGAAACCACUCGUAAGAGAUUAUCUUAGAUGCUCUAAAAAAUUCUAGGGCACCAUAAUGAUAUCAUGAAAUAUUUUAACACUCUUCUCAAAUUAAAGCUCACAAAGCUUUAAACUUUCUACAAUUAAACACACCGGCAGGUGUCUGAGACUGGAGAAGGGGAUAGAGCAUUGGGGACAGGAGACAAGGCCAGAUUGCAAGAAACAGAUGCCAGACUGCAACUAGGCAUAGAGACAGGCCAAACAACCUCGGCGACAUAGAUGGGGCCAGGGCAUCUGGGAUUGGAGACGGCAGGGCCAGACAGAAUGAUCAUCCACAGGACGAAAAUUUACAACUGGUGUGAUUGUAAGUGGGCUACAGAACUGAUUGUCAGCCAGAAAGGAAGUAAACUUGUUGUCAAAAUCUGUUUCUGUCUUAUAUCCUUCAAUUAUAGGGAUUCAGUUGUAUAUGAGUUAUGAGUACUAAUAGAGAUUUAGUUAUAUAUGAGUACUAAUAGAAUUUAGUUGUUUAGUAAUCUAGUAUAUAUA